This 409-nucleotide ribosomal RNA is filed under the name uncultured bacterium. RNAcentral describes it as "partial 16S ribosomal RNA". It matches the Rfam family "Bacterial small subunit ribosomal RNA", at positions 362 to 773 of the family's 1533-position model. The record is from RNAcentral.
UAUUGCACAAUGGGGGGAACCCUGAUGCAGCGACGCCGCGUGAGUGAAGAAGUGUUUCGACAUGUAAAGCUCUAUCAGCAGGGAAGAAAGGCCUUUUAAGGGAGAUGACGGUACCUGAUUAAGAAGCCCGGCCAAACUACGGGCAUGCAGCCGCGGUAAUACGUAGGGGGCAAGCGUUAUCCGGAUUUACUGGGUGUAAAGGGAGCGCAGACGGCAAUGCAAGUCUGAUGUGAAAACCCGGGGCUUAACCCCGGGCCUGCAUUGGAAACUGUAUAGCUGGAGUAUCGGAGAGGUGAGCGGAAUUCCUGGUGUAGCGGUGAAAUGCGCAGAUAUCAGGAAGAACACCGGCGGCGAAGGCGGCUCACUGGACGACAACUGACGUUGAGGCUCGAAAGCGUGGGUAGCAAAC